UCCAUCCCAUUUCCUGCUUUGGCUUCUGGGUUCUUGCCAGAAGGUGCUGAGGCAACUGUGGACAUACCCUUUGAAAAAAUGGACAUAUAGUCUCCAACCCAUUUCCUGCUUUAGCAAAUCACAUGCAGCCUUCAAGUUGUCAAUUUUUUCAAAGGGUACAUCCACAGUUGCCUUGAAACCUUCUAGCAAGAAGCCAGGGUCCAAGGGAGGAAAUGGGAUGGA
Molecule: microRNA precursor, 222 nt
Filed under: Prunus persica (peach)
Lineage: Eukaryota; Viridiplantae; Streptophyta; Magnoliopsida; Rosales; Rosaceae
Description: miR8127 stem-loop (ppe-MIR8127)
Source: miRBase by way of RNAcentral